Molecule: long non-coding RNA, 564 nt
Organism: Heterocephalus glaber (naked mole-rat)
Lineage: Eukaryota; Metazoa; Chordata; Mammalia; Rodentia; Bathyergidae
Source: Ensembl
UGCUCUUUUACAAGACAAAUCUUUACAGAGAUGAUAUCAGGAGGAGAAAUACUUUGACCUAACUCAUGCAUCUACACUGAUCACCAGUUAGAGUUGGUGAGAACUGCUGACCAAAUCCAACAAGAGGAAAGAAGUCCUGGGAACAGACUGACAUGAUACGGACAGAAGCAUGGUAGAAAAUCAUGCAGAGUAAAUCUAGAGGGCAAACAAUAUACGUCCAGCAGAGAAGAUCAAAUUGGGCCCUGAAAGUGACCAGAAGUUGACUUAAAACAAGCAAGAAAGAGGCCGGGAAAAUGUAUAUCAGGUGACCAAGAAAUAAAUCCAGCUGGCCCUUCCUACUCAUGGCUUCAACAUCUGGGAAUUAAACCAAACAUGCCUGGAGAAUAUCAGGAGGAAAAAUGGGUAGUCGAAGAGUAAAUUUGACCAAAAGGAACUUGCCAGAAGAAGGAGCAAUUGUUAAUGGAAAGAUAAUUCAGCUUUGAAGUCUGUUCAGACUGAAGUGACUGUGUAGAUUUUUAGCUGAAAUUAAACAUCUGAGCAUAGAAAUUAAUAACUUUUGCUUCU